GACGAACGCUGGCGGCGUGCCUAAUACAUGCAAGUCGAGCGAAGUUUUUCUGGUGCUUGCACUAGAAAAACUUAGCGGCGAACGGGUGAGUAACACGUAAAGAACCUGCCUCAUAGACGGGGACAACUAUUGGAAACGAUAGCUAAUACCGGAUAACAGCAUAAAUCGCAUGAUAUAUGUUUAAAAGUUGGUUUCGGCUAACACUAUGAGAUGGCUUUGCGGUGCAUUAGCUAGUUGGUGGGGUAAAGGCCUACCAAGGCGACGAUGCAUAGCCGACCUGAGAGGGUGAUCGGCCACACUGGGACUGAGACACGGCCCAGACUCCUACGGGAGGCAGCAGUAGGGAAUCUUCCGCAAUGGGCGAAAGCCUGACGGAGCAACGCCGCGUGAGUGAAGAAGGAUUUCGGUUCGUAAAGCUCUGUUGUUAGGGAAGAAUGAUUGUAUAGUAACUAUAUACAGUAGAGACGGUACCUAACCAGAAAGCCACGGCUAACUACGUGCCAGCAGCCGCGGUAAUACGUAGGUGGCAAGCGUUGUCCGGAAUUAUUGGGCGUAAAGCGCGCGCAGGUGGUUUAAUAAGUCUGAUGUGAAAGCCCACGGCUCAACCGUGGAGGGUCAUUGGAAACUGUUAAACUUGAGUGCAGGAGAGAAAAGUGGAAUUCCUAGUGUAGCGGUGAAAUGCGUAGAGAUUAGGAGGAACACCAGUGGCGAAAGCGGCUUUUUGGCCUGUAACUGACACUGAGGCGCGAAAGCGUGGGGAGCAAACAGG
This 769-nucleotide ribosomal RNA is filed under the name uncultured bacterium. RNAcentral describes it as "bacterial SSU rRNA". It matches the Rfam family "Bacterial small subunit ribosomal RNA", at positions 28 to 776 of the family's 1533-position model. The record is from RNAcentral.